UACAGGGGGUGCAAACGUUGCUCGGAAUCAUUGGGCGUAAAGCGCACGUAGGCGGUUCGUUAUGUCGGAUGUGAAAGCCCUUGGCUUAGCCGAGGAAGUGCAUCCGAAACUGGCGAGCUAGAGUACUAAAGAGGAUCGCGGAAUUCCCGGUGUAGAGGUGAAAUUCGUAGAUAUCGGGAGGAACACCGGUGGCGAAGGCGGCGAUCUGGGUAGAUACUGACGCUGAGGUGCGAAAGCGUGGGGAGCAAACAGG
This 253-nucleotide ribosomal RNA is filed under the name uncultured bacterium. Its description in RNAcentral is "partial 16S ribosomal RNA". It matches the Rfam family "Bacterial small subunit ribosomal RNA", at positions 524 to 776 of the family's 1533-position model. The record is from RNAcentral.